RNAcentral lists this ribosomal RNA (771 nucleotides) under uncultured Neocallimastigales. RNAcentral describes it as "partial large subunit ribosomal RNA". It matches the Rfam family "Eukaryotic large subunit ribosomal RNA", at positions 18 to 640 of the family's 3401-position model. The record is from RNAcentral. Lineage: Eukaryota; Fungi; Neocallimastigomycota; Neocallimastigomycetes; Neocallimastigales.
UCAGACGAUGCGUCAUGCAUAUCAAUAAGCGGAGGAAAAGAAACUAACAAGGAUUCCCUCAGUAACGGCGAGUGAAGCGGGAAGAGCUCAAAUUUGAAAUCUUGAAAGGUCACCUUUCACGAAUUGUAGUUUAAAGAAGUGUUUUCUGUUACGAUCGUAAUAUAAGUUCUUUGGAAUAGGACAUCACAGAGGGUGAGAAUCCCGUCUACGAUUGCGAUUUGUAGCUUUGUGAUACACUUUCAAAGAGUCGGGUUGUUUGGGAAUGCAGCCCAAAACGGGAGGUAAAUUUCUUCUAAGGCUAAAUAUUGGCGAGAGACCGAUAGCGAACAAGUACCGUGAGGGAAAGAUGAAAAGAACUUUGAAAAGAGAGUUAAACAGUACGUGAAAUUGUCAAAAGGGAAGCGUUUGACACCAGUGUUGUUUUCUCGAAAAUCAACCUCUGUUAGCUUUAUGCAUGUUUGUUUAGACCUAAUCAGCUAUCUUGCAUGUUCUAUUGUUUGCAGUGGUGCACUUUUCAGUUUACAGGUCAACAUCAGUUUUUUUUACCGUAAAAAAGUUAAAGAAAGGUAGCUCAUGGCUCCGGUCGUGAGUGUUAUAGUCUUUUUCCUAUGCGGUAGGAGAGACUGAGGUCUGCAGUGUAGGCUAUUUGGCUAGAUACUCAGGUGCUAUGUGAUACCAUUUCAUAAACAACUUGUUGAUUAUGUUUUGUCUAUUGCAUACUCGCUUGUACUAUCAUACCUACGCUUAGGAUGUUGACUGAUAUGUAGUCGU